This 253-nucleotide ribosomal RNA is filed under the name uncultured bacterium. Its description in RNAcentral is "partial 16S ribosomal RNA". It matches the Rfam family "Bacterial small subunit ribosomal RNA", at positions 524 to 776 of the family's 1533-position model. The record is from RNAcentral.
UACGUAGGGCGCAAGCGUUGUCCGGAAUUAUUGGGCGUAAAGAGCUCGUAGGCGGUCUGUUACGUCCGCUGUGAAAACCCAGGGCUUAACCCUGGGCUUGCAGUGGAUACGGGUAGACUAGAGGCAGGUAGGGGAGAAUGGAAUUCCCGGUGUAGCGGUGAAAUGCGCAGAUAUCGGGAGGAACACCGGUGGCGAAGGCGGUUCUCUGGGCCUGACCUGACGCUGAGACGCGAAAGCGUGGGGAGCGAACAGG